RNAcentral lists this ribosomal RNA (286 nucleotides) under uncultured bacterium. Its description in RNAcentral is "partial 16S ribosomal RNA". It matches the Rfam family "Bacterial small subunit ribosomal RNA", at positions 9 to 293 of the family's 1533-position model. The record is from RNAcentral.
GAGUUUGAUCUUGGCUCAGAUUGAACGCUGGCGGCAGGCCUAACACAUGCAAGUCGAACGGUAACAGGAAACAGCUUGCUGUUUCGCUGACGAGUGGCGGACGGGUGAGUAAUGUCUGGGAAACUGCCUGAUGGAGGGGGAUAACUACUGGAAACGGUAGCUAAUACCGCAUAACGUCGCAAGACCAAAGAGGGGGACCUUCGGGCCUCUUGCCAUCGGAUGUGCCCAGAUGGGAUUAGCUAGUAGGUGGGUAACGCUCACCUAGGCGACGAUCCCUAGCUGGUCU